This is a non-coding RNA of Nomia melanderi (Alkali bee), 282 nucleotides long. Lineage: Eukaryota; Metazoa; Arthropoda; Insecta; Hymenoptera; Halictidae. The record is from RefSeq and is a predicted model, not a curated record.
CUCGGCGAGAAGUAAUUCCGCAGUCGAUUUCCUUCACGCCAUGCUUCCGGGCGCGACCUCUUCUUCUCCUUCGUUCAACGUAAUUACGGCGGACGACAUCUUGUACUGUGACUUAUUGAUACCCGACAAUGUUGACUGAUACCUUAUUCAAUUUUGUGUGUUAUAUCGCGUUGGUUAUAUUUAACUUCGAAUGUCAACGAAUGUAUUCCUGUUACAGGGAUUUAAUGGGAGAAAGAUGGGAAGCAUAGAAGAACAAACGCAGAUCUUUAUUCUCGAAGCAGC